This 112-nucleotide transfer RNA is filed under the name Periconia macrospinosa. It matches the Rfam family "tRNA". From Rfam's summary of the family: Transfer RNA (tRNA) molecules are approximately 80 nucleotides in length. Lineage: Eukaryota; Fungi; Ascomycota; Dothideomycetes; Pleosporales; Periconiaceae. The record is from Rfam by way of RNAcentral.
GCCUGGUUAGCUCAAUCGGUAGAGCGUGAGACUCUUACGGAGAUCACUUUCUCAGGAAACGAUUGAUUUAAGCAAUAUCUCAAGGUUGCGGGUUCGACCCCCGCAUCGGGCU